Regulatory RNA element from Lupinus angustifolius (narrow-leaved blue lupine), 133 nucleotides. It matches the Rfam family "TPP riboswitch aptamer (THI element)". From Rfam's summary of the family: Vitamin B(1) in its active form thiamin pyrophosphate (TPP) is an essential coenzyme that is synthesised by coupling of pyrimidine and thiazole moieties in bacteria. The previously detected thiamin-regulatory element, thi box was extended, resulting in a new, highly conserved RNA secondary structure, the THI element, which is widely distributed in eubacteria and also occurs in some archaea. Lineage: Eukaryota; Viridiplantae; Streptophyta; Magnoliopsida; Fabales; Fabaceae. The record is from Rfam.
CAAAUGCACCAGGGGUGCCUCUAUCUGCAUGAGCUCCUAUGAUUAAGUUAGGAUGCUAGCAGAUUAGGCUGAGAUAGUCCCUUUGAACCUGAACAGGGUGAUGCCUGCGUAGGGAGUGUGCAAUUUUCUUUCU